RNAcentral lists this ribosomal RNA (63 nucleotides) under Plasmopara nivea. Its description in RNAcentral is "partial 28S ribosomal RNA". It matches the Rfam family "Eukaryotic large subunit ribosomal RNA", at positions 1 to 62 of the family's 3401-position model. Lineage: Eukaryota; Oomycota; Peronosporomycetes; Peronosporales; Peronosporaceae. The record is from RNAcentral.
UUGGACCUGAUAUCAGGCAAGAUUACCCGCUGAACUUAAGCAUAUUAAUAAGCGGAGAAAAGA